Molecule: ribosomal RNA, 328 nt
Filed under: uncultured eukaryote
Lineage: Eukaryota
Description: partial 18S ribosomal RNA
Rfam family: Eukaryotic small subunit ribosomal RNA
Source: RNAcentral
CCCUUAGAUGUCCUGGGCCGCACGCGCGUUACACUGAUGCAUUCAACGAGCCUAUAACCUUGGCCGAGAGGCCUGGGCAAUCUUGUUAACGUGCAUCGUGAUAGGGAUAGAUUAUUGAAAUUAUUAAUCUUGAACGAGGAAUUCCUAGUAAACGCAGAUCAUCAAUCUGCAUUGAUUACGUCCCUGCCCUUUGUACACACCACCCGUCGCACCUACCGAUUGGAUGGUCCGGUGAAGCCUCGGGAUUGUGGUUCUUGCCGCUUUAUUGUGGCGUGACCGCGAGAACUUGUCUAAACCUUAUCAUCUAGAGGAAGGUGAAGUCGUAACA